AGACCGUCGUGAGACAGGUUAGUUUUAC
Molecule: non-coding RNA, 28 nt
Filed under: Drosophila melanogaster (fruit fly)
Lineage: Eukaryota; Metazoa; Arthropoda; Insecta; Diptera; Drosophilidae
Also listed under: 6 other names
Source: RNAcentral